RNAcentral lists this ribosomal RNA (270 nucleotides) under uncultured archaeon. RNAcentral's name for it is "partial 16S ribosomal RNA". It matches the Rfam family "Archaeal small subunit ribosomal RNA", at positions 477 to 747 of the family's 1478-position model. The record is from RNAcentral.
CAGCACCUCAGGUGGUCAGGAUGAUUAUUGGGCCUAAAGCAUCCGUAGCCGGCGCUGUAAGUUUUCGGUUAAAUCUGUACGCUCAACGUACAGGCUGCCGGGAAUACUGCAGAGCUAGGGAGUGGGAGAGGUAGACGGUACUCGGUAGGAAGGGGUAAAAUCCUUUGAUCUAUUGAUGACCACCUGUGGCGAAGGCGGUCUACCAGAACACGUCCGACGGUGAGGGAUGAAAGCUGGGGGAGCAAACCGGAUUAGAUACCCGAGUAGUCC